GGGAGGGAGGGUGCUGCAGAUUUCUAGUGGGUAGAGGCCGGGGAUGCCGCUAAACAUCCUGCAAUGCUCAGGACAGCUCUCCACAACAAACACUCACACCAUGCAAAUGUCCAUAGUGCCCAACUUGGAAACUGUUCUUCGUAUGUGUUAACACAAAAAAUCCUCAUAGGAACGCAUGUGGGAGUACCAUCUUUAUUUUCCUGGUUU
This 207-nucleotide long non-coding RNA is filed under the name Homo sapiens (human). RNAcentral describes it as "non-protein coding lnc-PTEN-7:1". The record is from RNAcentral. Lineage: Eukaryota; Metazoa; Chordata; Mammalia; Primates; Hominidae.